UGCGUAGGUGGUGAGGUAAGUCGGAUGUGAAAGCUCGGAGCUCAACUCCGAAAUGGCAUUGGAAACUACCUUGCUCGAGGGUUGGAGGGGGGACUGGAAUACUUGGUGUAGCAGUGAAAUGCGUAGAUAUCAACUGGAACACCAGUGGCGAAGGCGAGUCCCUGGACAACUCCUGACACUGAGGCACGAAAGCUAGGGGAGCAAACA
RNAcentral lists this ribosomal RNA (207 nucleotides) under uncultured bacterium. RNAcentral describes it as "partial 16S ribosomal RNA". It matches the Rfam family "Bacterial small subunit ribosomal RNA", at positions 568 to 774 of the family's 1533-position model. The record is from RNAcentral.